GACGAACGCUGGCGGCGUGCCUAAUACAUGCAAGUAGAACGCUGAAGCUUGGUGCUUGCACCGAGCGGAUGAGUUGCGAACGGGUGAGUAACGCGUAGGUAACCUGCCUGGUAGCGGGGGAUAACUAUUGGAAACGAUAGCUAAUACCGCAUGAUAUUGAUUAUUGCAUGAUAGUCAAUUAAAAGGUGCAAUUGCAUCACUACCAGAUGGACCUGCGUUGUAUUAACUAGUUGGUGAGGUAACGGCUCACCAAGGCAACGAUACAUAGCCGACCUGAGAGGGUGAUCGGCCACACUGGGACUGAGACACGGCCCAGACUCCUACGGGAGGCAGCAGUAGGGAAUCUUCGGCAAUGGACGGAAGUCUGACCGAGCAACGCCGCGUGAGUGAAGAAGGUUUUCGGAUCGUAAAGCUCUGUUGUAAGAGAAGAACGAGUGUGAGAGUGGAAAGUUCACACUGUGACGGUAUCUUACCAGAAAGGGGCGGCUAACUACGUGCCAGCAGCCGCGGUAAUACGUAGGUCCCGAGCGUUGUCCGGAUUUAUUGGGCGUAAAGCGAGCGCAGGCGGCUAGAUAAGUCUGAAGUUAAAGGCUGUGGCUUAACCAUAGUACGCUUUGGAAACUGUUUAACUUGAGUGCAAGAGGGGAGAGUGGAAUUCCAUGUGUAGCGGUGAAAUGCGUAGAUAUAUGGAGGAACACCGGUGGCGAAAGCGGCUCUCUGGCUUGUAACUGACGCUGAGGCUCGAAAGCGUGGGGAGCAAACAGG
This 765-nucleotide ribosomal RNA is filed under the name uncultured Streptococcus sp. RNAcentral describes it as "bacterial SSU rRNA". It matches the Rfam family "Bacterial small subunit ribosomal RNA", at positions 28 to 776 of the family's 1533-position model. The record is from RNAcentral. Lineage: Bacteria; Bacillati; Bacillota; Bacilli; Lactobacillales; Streptococcaceae.